RNAcentral lists this ribosomal RNA (498 nucleotides) under uncultured bacterium. RNAcentral describes it as "partial 16S ribosomal RNA". It matches the Rfam family "Bacterial small subunit ribosomal RNA", at positions 28 to 523 of the family's 1533-position model. The record is from RNAcentral.
GAUGAACGCUAGCGGCAGGCCUAAUACAUGCAAGUCGGACGGGAUUGGAGAGCUUGCUUUCCAUGAGAGUGGCGCACGGGUGCGUAACACGUAUGUAACCUACCUUGUUCAGGGGGAUAGCCUCUCGAAAGAGAGAUUAAGACCGCAUAACAUUGCGAUGUGGCAUCACAUUGUAAUCAAAUAUUUAUAGGAACAAGAUGGGCAUGCGGAACAUUAGCUAGUUGGUAAGGUAACGGCUUACCAAGGCUACGAUGUUUAGGGGAUCUGAGAGGAUGACCCCCCACACUGGUACUGGGACACGGACCAGACUCCUACGGGAGGCAGCAGUAAGGAAUAUUGGUCAAUGGGCGGAAGCCUGAACCAGCCAUGCCGCGUGCAGGAAGACGGCCCUAUGGGUUGUAAACUGCUUUUGCAGAGGAAUAAACCUUGGUACGUGUACCAAGCUGAAUGUACUCUGAGAAUAAGGAUCGGCUAACUCCGUGCCAGCAGCCGCCGUAA